RNAcentral lists this ribosomal RNA (253 nucleotides) under uncultured bacterium. Its description in RNAcentral is "partial 16S ribosomal RNA". It matches the Rfam family "Bacterial small subunit ribosomal RNA", at positions 524 to 776 of the family's 1533-position model. The record is from RNAcentral.
UACGGGGGGGGCAAGCGUUGUUCGGAAUUACUGGGCGUAAAGGGUUUGUAGGUGGCUUGUUAAGUCAGACGUGAAAUCCCUCAGCUUAACUGGGGAACUGCGUCUGAUACUGGCGAGCUUGAGUGCAGGAGAGGAACGCGGAAUUCCAGGUGUAGCGGUGAAAUGCGUAGAUAUCAGGAGGAACACCGGUGGCGAAGGCGGAUCUCUGGGCCAUUACUGACGCUGAGGAGCGAAAGCGUGGGGAGCGAACAGG